UACAGAGGGUGCGAGCGUUGUCCGGAAUCACUGGGCGUAAAGGGCGCGUAGGCGGCUUGAUAAGGUUGCGGUGAAAGCCCGGGGCUCAACCCCGGGUCGGCCGUGGCAACUGUCGAGCUGGAGCACUGUAGAGGCAGGUGGAAUUCCGGGUGUAGCGGUGAAAUGCGCAGAUAUCGGGAAGAACACCCGUGGCGAAGGCGGCACUCUGGGACGGUACUGACGCUGAGACGCGAAAGCGUGGGGAGCGAACAGG
RNAcentral lists this ribosomal RNA (253 nucleotides) under uncultured bacterium. RNAcentral's name for it is "partial 16S ribosomal RNA". It matches the Rfam family "Bacterial small subunit ribosomal RNA", at positions 524 to 776 of the family's 1533-position model. The record is from RNAcentral.